UAGCUUCCUUUAUGCUAUAUAAUCUAUUUGAGUCAUUUGUGUUAAUUGGAAUGUGGAUUUUUAUUCCAUUUGAGUUUUCAUGUGUCAUGUGUGGUGACAUUUAUUUGUGAGUUCUUUUGAGUACUUGUGGUCUAGAACUUGCCCGGAAUGUGCUUUGAGGCGAAAUUAUAGACUAAAUUGGUUUGAAAAAUUUUAUCAGGCCUUUCUUGGACCACUAGUAUGCCUUAAAUUUCCUACCCUUAAAUAUUUUCCCUAGUCAACCAAUUAUGAGCCUUUAAUCUUAUUAUUUGGCAACCAUGUUACAUGCUUAAAUACUUUGUUCUUAAAUGAUAUAUCUUUUGGCACCCUACUUCCCUAAGUACCUUGAAAGUGUUUAUGUAGGCUAAAAGCCUAAGUUUGGGGUUGAAUGGUUGGAAAAGUUGUGAUAUGAAAGUUGUUGAAAAGGUGGAAGGUAGAAAAAAAGGACCUAUAAGCCUAUGUUUGGGCGUGCAAGUUGGGAAAGGUGUGAUAUGGAAAUUGAUUGAAAAGGUGAAGGGUAAGUUGUGAAUAAAUAGAAGACUAGGUGUGGAAUGAAACGUGAAGAAAGGAUGGAAAAUAUUUUUGAAGGAAGUGGACUUUAAUUGUAAACUUUGUAGUGCUUGGGAAAGUUUUGAGUCACUUUAAAAAUUGUACCUUACCUUAACCAAAUGCAUAGCACUACAACCCUUUUAGUCCUAAUUGAUUUUGAACUAAGUUGUCUACAUUAGUGGAGAAAUACGUAAAGGGCAAGCCUAUGGUACUACUUGUAUGCAUUUGAACAUCUUUUGGAGAGUGAGUUAAUUCUUUCCAUUUUGAUAUCCCAUUUUUGAUUUAACUUGAGAUUUAUGAGUCUGGGAUAUUCUCUUGAAUGUAAGGGCACAUGAGAAUUUUAGUUGUGAAUUUAAUCCUAUUCUCAAUUGAUAAGAAUGACCAAAGAAUAUUGAUUGUGAUAUAGAGGCAAAUUUUGAAGCUUUAGUAUCAUAACUUGGUUGCUACUUUGAUUUGCAUUAGUUUUUGAGCACUUGAAGUAUAAGUUUAUGUGAAGUGCUCGAUAAUUCAUAUACUUUGGAGUAAUUGUUAGUACCAAUCGAAGUCAUGCUUUUGUGCUUAUAAUAGACCUAUUUGGCUUGGAUGAUAUGGAUGCAUUGUUGAGUUAAAUACUUGGGAAGAGAUUUUGUCACUUUCAUUGCUUCUCGACAAGCAAUAGUCUAAGUUUGGGGGAGUGAUAAGUGGGUAAAAUACCCACUUAUAUUGUCUUUAAACCUAUACUUUUGAUGUGUUCAGUGAUUAAAGUUGUCCGUUUUAAUGUCGUUUACUUCUAUUUUGCAGGUUGUAAGUGAUUUAGAAGUAAUGGCGAAGGAACCAAGUGAAAACAAUCCAAAAAGGAGUAAAAAUGGACAAAACAAAGCUGCCCAGUGAAUUACUCUUCGCGAACGCGAUGAACUAGUCCCAGAAAUACUACGUGAACGCGUAAGCUAAUCGCAAACGCGAUGGGCAGAAACAGUGACCUUCGUGAAGGCAAAGGCGAAGGGCAGAAAGUCAAGGGCAGAAGUCAAAGUUUCACGAACGCGUGGUCAAACCUCGAACGCAAAGGUCAGGAGGCAUUACAACAUCGCGAAGGCGAUGAAUGUACGCGAACGCAAAGUCUUAAUUGCCUGGGAAGAAAGGGCAAUUCUGGAAUUUCACGACUUUGACCUAAAUCCUUUAAUACCCAAAUCAGUUCAUUUUUUACGUAUCUUUGUCUUAUUUUCAGUCCAUAGAGACUAGAGAGAACAAGGAGAAUACUAGGGUUCUUGCACAAACACACUUGGGUCUUGAAGAUUGAAACUUGUGGUUAAUAUUUUCUUACAUAUUUAUGUUGCUUUCUUCAUUUCUUUUCUUUUUAUUGUAAAUCUAAGUGUCUAUUAU
Molecule: long non-coding RNA, 1926 nt
Filed under: Nicotiana benthamiana
Lineage: Eukaryota; Viridiplantae; Streptophyta; Magnoliopsida; Solanales; Solanaceae
Description: long non-coding RNA (NBEN_LNC030610)
Source: RNAcentral